Molecule: ribosomal RNA, 430 nt
Filed under: bacterium
Lineage: Bacteria
Description: partial 16S ribosomal RNA
Rfam family: Bacterial small subunit ribosomal RNA
Source: RNAcentral
UGGGGAAUAUUGGACAAUGGGGGGAACCCUGAUUCAGCCAUGCCGCGUGUGUGAAGAAGGCCUUAUGGUUGUAAAGCACUUUAAGCGAGGAGGAGGCUCUCUUGGUUAAUACCCAAGAAGAGUGGACGUUACUCGCAGAAUAAGCACCGGCUAACUCUGUGCCAGCAGCCGCGGUAAUACAGAGGGUGCGAGCGUUAAUCGGAUUUACUGGGCGUAAAGCGUGCGUAGGCGGCUUUUUAAGUCGGAUGUGAAAUCCCCGAGCUUAACUUGGGAAUUGCAUUCGAUACUGGGAAGCUAGAGUAUGGGAGAGGAUGGUAGAAUUCCAGGUGUAGCGGUGAAAUGCGUAGAGAUCUGGAGGAAUACCGAUGGCGAAGGCAGCCAUCUGGCCUAAUACUGACGCUGAGGUACGAAAGCAUGGGGAGCAAACAGG